GGGGCUGUGGCGCAGUUGGGAGCGCGCUUGAAUGGCAUUCAAGAGGUCGGGGGUUCGAAUCCCCCCAGCUCCACCA
This 76-nucleotide transfer RNA is filed under the name Nitrospinaceae bacterium. RNAcentral's name for it is "tRNA-Ala". It matches the Rfam family "tRNA". Rfam says of the family: Transfer RNA (tRNA) molecules are approximately 80 nucleotides in length. Their secondary structure includes four short double-helical elements and three loops (D, anti-codon, and T loops). The record is from RNAcentral. Lineage: Bacteria; Pseudomonadati; Nitrospinota; Nitrospinia; Nitrospinales; Nitrospinaceae.